Molecule: ribosomal RNA, 490 nt
Filed under: uncultured bacterium
Lineage: Bacteria
Description: partial 16S ribosomal RNA
Rfam family: Bacterial small subunit ribosomal RNA
Source: RNAcentral
GAUGAACGCUAGCGAUAGGCUUAACACAUGCAAGUCGAGGGGCAGCAUGGUCUUAGCUUGCUAAGACUGAUGGCGACCGGCGCACGGGUGCGUAACGCGUAUGCAACUUGCCUCACAGAGGGGGAUAACCCGUCGAAAGACGGACUAAUACCGCGUACACUUGGGAUUGGGCAUCCUGACCCAAGGAAAUGAAAUUCGCUGUGAGAUAGGCAUGCGUCCCAUUAGCUAGUUGGUGAGGUAACGGCUCACCAAGGCGACGAUGGGUAGGGGAACUGAGAGGUUGAACCCCCACACUGGUACUGAGACACGGACCAGACUCCUACGGGAGGCAGCAGUGAGGAAUAUUGGUCAAUGGGCGAGAGCCUGAACCAGCCAAGUCGCGUGAAGGAUGACUGUCUUAUGGAUUGUAAACUUCUUUUAUACGGGAAUAACAAGAGCCACGUGUGGCUCCCUGCAUGUACCGUAUGAAUAAGCAUCGGCUAACUCCGUG